UACGUAGGGGGCAAGCGUUGUCCGGAAUCAUUGGGCGUAAAGGGCGCGUAGGCGGAUUUUUAAGUCUGGUGUGAAAACCUAGGGCUCAACCCUGGGACUGCAUCGGAAACUGGAGAUCUUGAGGACAGGAGAGGAAAGUGGAAUUCCACGUGUAGCGGUGAAAUGCGUAGAUAUGUGGAGGAACACCAGUGGCGAAGGCGACUUUCUGGACUGUAACUGACGCUGAGGCGCGAAAGCGUGGGGAGCAAACAGGAUUAGAUACCCUGGUAGUCCACGCCGUAAACGAUGAGUGCUAGGUGUAGAGGGUAUCGACCCCUUCUGUGCCGCAGUUAACACAAUAAGCACUCCGCCUGGGGAGUACGGCCGCAAGGUUGAA
RNAcentral lists this ribosomal RNA (376 nucleotides) under uncultured bacterium. RNAcentral's name for it is "bacterial SSU rRNA". It matches the Rfam family "Bacterial small subunit ribosomal RNA", at positions 524 to 898 of the family's 1533-position model. The record is from RNAcentral.